GAUGAACGCUGGCGGCGUGCCUAACACAUGCAAGUCGAGCGAUUCUCUUCGGAGAAGAGCGGCGGACGGGUGAGUAACGCGUGGGUAACCUGCCCUGUACACACGGAUAACAUACCGAAAGGUAUGCUAAUACGAGAUAAUAUGCUUUUAUCGCAUGGUAGAAGUAUCAAAGCUUUUGCGGUACAGGAUGGACCCGCGUCUGAUUAGCUAGUUGGUAAGGUAACGGCUUACCAAGGCGACGAUCAGUAGCCGACCUGAGAGGGUGAUCGGCCACAUUGGAACUGAGACACGGUCCAAACUCCUACGGGAGGCAGCAGUGGGGAAUAUUGCGCAAUGGACGGAAGUCUGACGCAGCGACGCCGCGUGAGCGACGAAGGCCUUCGGGUCGUAAAGCUCUGUUCUUGGGGACGAAGGAAAUGACGGUACCCAAGGGAGAAAGCCCCGGCUAACUACGUGC
This 457-nucleotide ribosomal RNA is filed under the name uncultured bacterium. Its description in RNAcentral is "bacterial SSU rRNA". It matches the Rfam family "Bacterial small subunit ribosomal RNA", at positions 28 to 508 of the family's 1533-position model. The record is from RNAcentral.